GUGUUUUUGGUGUGACAUUAUAAGUAUAACCCAGCCUAAGUAACAUUACAAACAAGUACCUAAAGCGAUUUGUUUUCAUCAUCCUGAGCAAUCAACUGAAGUAAAUUCUAAAAUCUCGACAAAUCGGUUACGCGUUUGAAUUUUUUAAAAUAAAAUACAGAAAUUUCCAUCACUGAAGCAUGGACGCCAUUUUAUUCUAAUCUUUGGUGUGCUGGGCAUAACAACGCUGACGCUCAACGAAAUGCCUUCUUCAACUGUGUCGUUAUGGCAGAAUUGAUUUGCAACAUGCCGCCCCACCUCACGGCACGCCACGAGUGUAGAUAUUAAUCCUAGUACUUCGUAUGCUCUGAAAUGAAACAUGCUACCAGCACCCGAUGUAAUGUGUUGUCGGAUGUUGAUAAUGUGUUUCUGAUGCCAUAUUGUAACUCUUCCAAUAAGCUAAUGUGCCUUAUGCGUUGGGGUAUCAUAGUAUUCGAUCGUCUGUGACGUCACUGACGCCACAAACGCUCGACUCGAAAAUCCAUUUUUUUAUGGACAGUCAUAAUUUGACAUCUCUAUUCGUCGAUAGACUACGUUACUAACGUACAUUUUUUUAACUUGAAACGAUAAAAAAUCAAAUUAGUUAUGCUUUUAAAUUACACUUCCAACACCAGACAACACGUCACGUCCGGUAUUGGUAUAACAAUCUGUUUCAGAGUAGCAAAAUGCACGGAUUUGUUUGGUGGUGUGGCGUGUUGCAAAUAUGUCAGAGCCAUUAAAAUCAAUAACUAUUAUACCUACAAAUUUAUUAUAAAAACCUAUGAUUAAAGUGGAUACGGCAUUUGGUCGAGUUGUCAGUCCUACGGAACAUUAUACUGUGUUGCGGUAACGCCUUCGACUAUACACUACGGACGCAGAUAGUAGGUACAAAAAUAAUUCACCUAUCCAAUACUAUUAUGACUACUUAACAAUUAAGUAUCGCGAGGAGACCGCUCUUCGGCCAUUAUUCUCUAGAACAUUCAAAUCGUAUCUUGCGCUUAAGGGUGCCGGUCAACUGCGCGGAGUGGAGUAAAGUCAUGUUCAGCGGACCAAUCAGAUGACGUGAACAUUUUAUCACGUCAUCUUUUACACAUCGUCAUGUGUUUAGAAGACAUCUUUGCUUCCCUUCAAUAGGUAGGCACCUUAAGGCUCUAAUUUCCUAUGAUACCAGUGCCGUCACAAAGCGGCAUCAUAAGCGUCGAAAGACGUCACUGAAACGUCUAUUAAAACAAGAUGGCGUGGUUUCUUAAAGCGUUUUUUAACUGUAACAUUAGUGUCAAAAAUGGCCGCUAUCCUAGGAAACCUGAGCCUAAUUACAAAUUGUGGCGCUAAAUUAGGGUUCUUGUAUGUGGAUGUGAAUAUUGACGUCACAAAAUGGAUAUUACGAUUUCAAUGUUAAAGAGCGAUGGCCAUUAAUAACAGCAAAACAUUUCAACGGCAUAGCCUCUUGCAAAUAGCAAGAGGAAUAGAAAAUAACAAAGAUUAAAAAAUAAUCUUCUCCAGGCAUCUCUGCGCUGAUCGCACUUGGGUAGAGUGGGCAAUUGGUGCGUAUGAGCGUUGUGCAUUUUUGUGUACUGAAAAGCGGAUGAUUUCAGCAGCAACUGUGGCACGGCUCA
This is a long non-coding RNA of Maniola jurtina (meadow brown), 1634 nucleotides long. RefSeq lists it as uncharacterized. Lineage: Eukaryota; Metazoa; Arthropoda; Insecta; Lepidoptera; Nymphalidae. The record is from RefSeq and is a predicted model, not a curated record. The transcript has 3 exons.